Molecule: long non-coding RNA, 2774 nt
Organism: Bufo bufo (common toad)
Lineage: Eukaryota; Metazoa; Chordata; Amphibia; Anura; Bufonidae
Exons: 2
Source: RefSeq, a predicted model, not a curated record
GAAUUUCUUCUUUAUUUACAGUUCAAGUCAAAUCACAUGCAAAACAGUUUUCUUCUUUCAUAUGAAUACCGUAGUUAGCAAAAAAAAACACAGUAUUUAAUAGAAAUUAAAUAUACAAAAAUAUAGCUUACAAAAAAAGUGAGUUUUUUUAUUUACGUUUUAAAAAAUAUUCUGCUGCAGAAUUUUCUCUUUAGUGUACAAACACGUCUAUGAAACCGAGAACCUGAGGUCUCACAAACAAAAAAACAAAAAAAGCACUGACUGAACAAUAGAACAUUGGACUGAAGGACAAGUAAACGCCGCAAAAUAAAGGGGGGGGGGGGGGAACAUUUCUUCAGUAUAAAACACUAUAUUAGGAGUUUCCUGUAGGCCUCAUGCACAUGACCGUAUGUAUUAGUCUGCAAAUGGCAGAUCCACAAAAUGCGGUCCGUGUUGCAUUCGCCUUAUUUGCGGACCCAUUGACUUCAUGGGUCUGCAUUAUGCGGACACGUGUAGGCCAUGUUCCAUCUCUUUCGGGAAUGGACAUCCAUAUGUCCGUUCUGCAAAAAUAUAGAACAUGUUGUUUGCAAAAUGUGGGCUAAGGGCUCAUUGAAGAAGUCAGUGGGUUCAGAAGAAAAAAGACCCGCGAUUUGCGGCCUGCAAAAAACAGAUACAGGCAUGUGCAUGAGGCCUAAUCUCGCGACACCGAGACUUACUGAACACGUGACGGUAUAUAAAAAGGUUAUUUCGAAACACAAAAAUACAGAGAUUUAUUUUUUUAUUUAAUUUAAAUAAUAAUAAAUAAAAAGGGCCGCGACACACGUCAUUGCCCCGUCAUAUUCUUCUAGAGGGUACAAACUAGGAAUGAUGGAUAGAUUAAGUCAUUGGCACCACCGUUCAUUUUAAAAAUUCUAGAUACCACUCCCACCAGGCAUAAUAAUGGAGCACAGAUUCAUACUCCGUUCGAUAGCGGAGUUUUUUUAUGCUCAUUGUUGACUCUGCUGAGUGACAUUAGCACAUAAAAUGGCUGUCACUCAGUCUUAAACAAAAAAAAUAAAAUCUGAAUAUUUUCACUAGAUCAACUUUGAAUGCGUUAAUACUGCCCCCUAUGGGCGCUAGCAUAGAUACAAAGGUCUAGGAAAGGAAACUCUCUCUCCCUCUGUCUGGAAUUGCCCUUUAAAGUGUUAAUUGGUGCACUAUUCACGUGGCCAGGGACUGGACCUAUCAUCACUAUUGAUAGGAGACUAAGUGACAUUUAUUGGACAGGUCAUGUGACCUUAAAGGCUUUAUAAAAAAUACAGGGGAGGAGGGACAAAUCUAUUGUCUGUACAUCACAGUGGCAACACUUUUGUUUCGAUUACCUGUACACAACCAUGAAGGCCAGUCAUGAACCCGCAAAAGCACUGUAACCCAUUACAAAAGGAAACCGACACCCCCUUACUUUCUGACAGAUUGGUUCGGCCUACAAAAUGGCUGCCUCCAUUUGUGUGGCAAAGAUACAAUCAACCAAACCAUUUCCGCAUAAUACUAGUUAGGCAGCUUUCCCAGUGAAGUUAUCCGACUAGUGUCCAGUUAAUAUUCUGCUAGUUAAAGAUUUUUUAUUUUUAUUUUUUUUACACCACAAGAUGGCUGCCACCAUGGUCCAUUUAAAGGGACAAAAAUUGUCAACCGAUUUGACCAAAUGACGACGACUUUUUUUUUAUUUUUCAUGAUGAGACACCGCAAAGAAAAUAAAAAUACUAAUAUAAUUGGCUAAAGUCACCAGAGGGCUGAUAAUUCCAAAGAGAUCCAACAAGUACCAAUACCAAAAAUACCCUAAAACCCAUUAUAUACUCUACAGACAUCUUCCUAUAGGCAAGUAUGAACACUCGACUAUUUAAAUCACUCCGGCACGACUAGAAAUUUACCAGUACACUAUACUUAACCAAUCACCAUGGGCGAUUCAUAUGGAAUCAAAAAGCUAAAAAACACUUGAAUUUUUUUUUCUCUUUUUUAUUUUAAAUUAAGGAUGGCUCAUCCACUGGAGUAGCAUAUUAUGGAUUGAAAGAACAGUACCAAAGCUGUAGAUACUGUACAUCAUGGAUCAAACAAUCCAAAAAGUUUGGUCAAUAUUUUAUUUAAUUUUUUUGAAUUAUUUUUUUUUAAAUGGUCAGUGCUUAGAAGUGCUCACAGAUUAAUUAGGCUAUUACUUAUUCUGAAAUACCUAAAAAAGGGUGGAUGCGUUUGAGGGUGGGACUCCAUAAACUGAGGGCCCCAGGGAGUACAACAGGCAGGGACUGUACAGCUCAGCAACCCCAAUGGCACUUGCUGGGAGAUUUGUGUAACUGAAAUCUACAGAAUGAAAAUGGAGUUCAAUGAAUGAACGGGAAUGGACGCGUAAUACCGCGACGCGGAAAUCCACAGCACUGUCAAAGUACUAACAAAAUUGGUUAAUAUUGGCAAUAGAAAUCUAUAUAACGUACAUCUAGACCAAAUCUGCAUAAAAAGCUGAGUCAUUUGCAUUAGUUAUCCUGUACUGAUCACGACUGAUCAAUUAUAUAAACCUGCAGAGCUGCACUCACAAUUCUGCUGGCUGAUACUACAUGUGAAGUGGCACAGCUGAGCUCCUUUAAUGCUGGGGAAAAAGUCACAUUUUCCUGUGUUAGUUUACCGUAUAGUGUCUGGUGUAAAGACAACGCCUCCCAAGCAACACAUUACCAAAGCAAGCUCUAGGCAGACACUGAAAAAGAGGGAUUAUUGUGAGAUAUAAAAAAAAUGCCUGCAGAAUUGUGAGUGCAGCUCUGCAGUAUAACACA